This 433-nucleotide ribosomal RNA is filed under the name uncultured bacterium. RNAcentral's name for it is "partial 16S ribosomal RNA". It matches the Rfam family "Bacterial small subunit ribosomal RNA", at positions 29 to 507 of the family's 1533-position model. The record is from RNAcentral.
AACGAACGCUGGCGGCAUGCCUAACACAUGCAAGUCGAACGAGACCUUCGGGUCUAGUGGCGCACGGGUGCGUAACGCGUGGGAACCUGCCCUUAGGUUCGGAAUAACUCCCCGAAAGGGGUGCUAAUACCGGAUAAUGUCUUCGGACCAAAGAUUUAUCGCCUUUGGAUGGGCCCGCGUUGGAUUAGCUAGUUGGUAGGGUAAAAGCCUACCAAGGCGACGAUCCAUAGCUGGUCUGAGAGGAUGAUCAGCCACACUGGGACUGAGACACGGCCCAGACUCCUACGGGAGGCAGCAGUGGGGAAUAGUGGACAAUGGGCGAAAGCCUGAUCCAGCAAUGCCGCGUGAGUGAUGAAGGCCUUAGGGUUGUAAAGCGCUUUUACCCGGGAUGAUAAUGACAGUACCGGGAGAAUAAGCCCCGGCUAACUCCGUG